Molecule: small RNA, 125 nt
Filed under: Marmota monax (woodchuck)
Lineage: Eukaryota; Metazoa; Chordata; Mammalia; Rodentia; Sciuridae
Source: RNAcentral
GCCGGGGGCGGUGGUGCACUCCUGUCCUCCCAGCAGCUUGGGAGGCUGAGGCAGGAGGAUCACAGGUUCAAAGCCAGCCUCAGCAAAAGUGAGGCCCUAAGCAAUUCAGUGAGACCCUGUCUCUA